ACGCUGGCGGCACGCCUAACACAUGCAAGUCGAACGAAGUAGCAAUACUUAGUGGCAGACGGGUGAGUAACAUGUAGGUAUCUACCCUUUGGCCUGGAAUAACACGAGGAAACUUGUGCUAAUACUGGAUAAGUCUUUACGGAGAAAGCUUUAUGCACCAUUGGAUGAGCCUGCACUUGAUUAGUUUGUUGGUGGGGUAAUGGCCUACCAAGACUUUGAUCAAUAGCUGAUUUGAGAGGAUGAUCAGCCACAUUGGGACUGAGACACGGCCCAAACUCCUACGGGAGGCAGCAGUGGGGAAUCUUGCACAAUGGAGGAAACUCUGAUGCAGCGAUGCCGCGUGAGUGAAGAAGGCCUUUGGGUUGUAAAGCUCUUUCGUCGGGGAAGAAAAUGACUGUACCCGAAUAAGAAGGUCCGGCUAACUUCGUGCCAGCAGCCGCGGUAAUACGAAGGGACCUAGCGUAGUUCGGAAUUACUGGGCUUAAAGAGUUCGUAGGUGGUUGAAAAAGUUGGUGGUGAAAUCCCAGAGCUUAACUCUGGAACUGCCAUCAAAACUUUUCAGCUAGAGUAUGAUAGAGGAAAGCAGAAUUUCUAGUGUAGAGGUGAAAUUCGUAGAUAUUAGAAAGAAUACCAAUUGCGAAGGCAGCUUUCUGGAUCAUUACUGACGCUGAGGAACGAAAGCAUGGGUAGCGAAGAGGAUUAGAUACCCUCGUAGUCCAUGCCGUAAACGAUGUGUGUUAGACGUUGGAAAUUUAUUUUCAGUGUCGCAGUGAAAGCGAUAAACACACCGCCUGGGGAGUACGACC
RNAcentral lists this ribosomal RNA (806 nucleotides) under uncultured Pelagibacteraceae bacterium. Its description in RNAcentral is "bacterial SSU rRNA". It matches the Rfam family "Bacterial small subunit ribosomal RNA", at positions 33 to 887 of the family's 1533-position model. The record is from RNAcentral. Lineage: Bacteria; Pseudomonadati; Pseudomonadota; Alphaproteobacteria; Candidatus Pelagibacterales; Candidatus Pelagibacteraceae.